Molecule: ribosomal RNA, 254 nt
Filed under: uncultured bacterium
Lineage: Bacteria
Description: partial 16S ribosomal RNA
Rfam family: Bacterial small subunit ribosomal RNA
Source: RNAcentral
UACGUAGGGUGCAAGCGUUGUCCGGAAUUAUUGGGCGUAAAGAGCUCGUAGGCGGUCUGUCGCGUCGGAUGUGAAAACCCAGGGCUCAACCCUGGGCCUGCAUUCGAUACGGGCAGACUAGAGUUCGGUAGGGGGAGACUGGAAUUCCUGGUGUAGCGGUGAAAUGCGCAGAUAUCAGGAGGAACACCGGUGGCGAAGGCGGGCUCUGGGGCCGAUACUGACGCUGAGGAGCGAAAGCGUGGGGAGCAAACAGG